GCCCCCAUAGCUCAGAGGAUAGAGCGCCGGCCUCCGGAGCCGGGUGCGCUGGUUCGAGUCCAGCUGGGGGUA
Molecule: transfer RNA, 72 nt
Filed under: Chloroflexota bacterium
Lineage: Bacteria; Bacillati; Chloroflexota
Also listed under: 1 other name
Description: tRNA-Arg
Rfam family: tRNA
About the family: Transfer RNA (tRNA) molecules are approximately 80 nucleotides in length.
Source: RNAcentral